This 274-nucleotide ribosomal RNA is filed under the name endosymbiont of Sphenophorus levis. RNAcentral describes it as "partial 16S ribosomal RNA". It matches the Rfam family "Bacterial small subunit ribosomal RNA", at positions 358 to 626 of the family's 1533-position model. The record is from RNAcentral. Lineage: Bacteria; Pseudomonadati; Pseudomonadota; Gammaproteobacteria.
AGGAUUUGCACAUGGGGGAACCUGAUGCAUGCUAUACCGCGUGUGUGAUGAAGGUCUUAGGAUUGUAAAACACUUUCAGCAAGAGGAAAAAAUUAUAUAAAUAAUACUUAUAUUAACUGAUAUUACCUGCAAAAGAAGUACCGGCUAACUCCAUGCCAGCAGCCGCGGUAAUACGGAGGGUACAAGCGUUAAUCGGAAUUAUUGGGCGUAAAGAGUACGUAGGUGGUAUAUUAAGUCAGAUGUGAAAUACUUAAGCUUAACUUAAGAACUGCAU